GGAUGUGAUGAUAGUAUUGUCGCCCCAGUCUUACUUUGCACCAAAGGUGUAACAUGGUGACUGACUUCUAAUCUGAUCU
This is a small nucleolar RNA of Lathyrus oleraceus (garden pea), 79 nucleotides long. RefSeq annotates it as small nucleolar RNA U31b. The record is from RefSeq and is a predicted model, not a curated record. NCBI's taxonomy places the organism in Eukaryota, Viridiplantae, Streptophyta, Magnoliopsida, Fabales, Fabaceae. The transcript has a single exon.